This 421-nucleotide long non-coding RNA is filed under the name Hordeum vulgare. Its description in RNAcentral is "long non-coding RNA (HVUL_LNC020399)". The record is from RNAcentral. Lineage: Eukaryota; Viridiplantae; Streptophyta; Magnoliopsida; Poales; Poaceae.
GUCAGUGAGGCGGAGCUACCCUAGAUGCUUGGUAAAUAAGAAGGCUGGCAAAGUCGAAAGAAGUAUAUUUGAUAUACAUGAUGUUGAUGUGUACUUUACUAUUACUCCUAGUAGCGCGAGGGUAUUGGAUACCAGUUUGAUUGCGAAGUGAUUAGUAACACAAAAUGAAAGCUAUGGAAUAAACGGAGACUAGCUAAAGGUGAGGUGACGAUACGUGUUGGAAGUGUCUCCAAGGUUGAUAUGAUCAAACGUGGCACGCUCCCUCUACCAUUGGGAUUGGUGUUAAACCUAAAUAAUUGUUAUUUGGUGCUUGCGUUAAGCAUGAACAUGAUUGGAUCGUGUUUAUUGCAAUACGAUUAUUCAUUUAAAAAGAAUAAUGGUUACUAUAUUUGCUUGAAUAAUCACCUUCAGUGGUUUAUUG